AGCUCCAAUAGCGUAUAUUAAAGUUGCUGCAGUUAAAAAGCUCGUAGUUGCAUUUCCGGAGUGAGGGAUUGGUCCAACCUUUGGUUGGUACUUAAUCCUCUCACGCCGUCCUUGAGUGGCGCAUUCUGGCAUUAAGUUGUCGGGGUGAUAGUCGCUCAUCGUUUACUGUGAGAAAAUUAGAGUGUUCAAAGCAGGCUUAUGCCGUUGAAUAUAUUAGCAUGGAAUAAUAAGAUAGGACCUCGGUACUAUUUUGUUGGUUUGAGAACCAAGGUAAUGAUGAAUAGGGACAGUUGGGGGUAUUCGUAUUCAGUUGUCAGAGGUGAAAUUCUUAGAUUUACGGAAGACGAACUACUGCGAAAGCAUUUACCAAGGAUGUUUUCA
Molecule: ribosomal RNA, 381 nt
Filed under: uncultured eukaryote
Lineage: Eukaryota
Description: SSU rRNA
Rfam family: Eukaryotic small subunit ribosomal RNA
Source: RNAcentral